Molecule: long non-coding RNA, 1458 nt
Filed under: Bemisia tabaci
Lineage: Eukaryota; Metazoa; Arthropoda; Insecta; Hemiptera; Aleyrodidae
Description: lncRNA ENSSWEETPG000664
Source: RNAcentral
AGGAUGGUGGAGCGAGCUCAAAAGCGUAAAGAGCGAUUGAAUACUCAUCUGAAGCAUCCUAAAGACAAUCUUUCAAAAGAAUCACUAGAUCUGAAGGAAAACAAAAAUUUGCACGUCUCAGAUUUGGCAAGUAACAGAAUGAAAGGAAUACUGCAGAACGGUAGCAUAAGUGUUUCUUUAGACAAAACAGAGAAUACGGGUUUUGUCUUCAAAGCAAAUUCUGAACAAAACCCAGCUUCCUCUGCUGUAGGAGUGUCAUCCAUCAACCAUUUGCCCAAUUCAAAAAAAACUUUGCAACCGCAAAAAAUGAAACCAAUGGAACCUUUAAAUUCCUUCAAAGAGGCGUCUAUGAAGUGUAGGUUUUUAUCAGAAAUAGGAACCACAAGUGGGGCACCAACUCACCUAAGAAAUCCAUCUCUAUAGAUCCUUGUGAGUUGAGCAUUGCUGACAGGAAAGCCCUUUUUGAGAGAAACAAGGACAAGCACCAUUACCCAAAGCUCCCCACAGUCAAGCCUUACCAGCUCAAAAGAAGGAAAAUGGUAAGCCGCCAAUCGACCUCCCUGCAAAGCCCCCUCCGAUCCAUGUUGAAAAUAAGCUGAUUGAUCGCAAUAUACCAGCCCAAGAAAACAAAAUGCCCGGCCCAUCGCACCUGCCACCAUCACCUCCGCCGAAGCCUGAUCACCUAAGAGCUUUCUUAGAAAAGAUUGAAGCGGAUACAAAAAUCAAAAAAGCAGAUAUUUCUACCUCCAAUUUGGAACUCAAAGAUCAAGAUACAUCGUAUAAAUCAGUUGCAUCAAGUGAAAGCAGCCUUGGUCAGAAGAUUGUUAGAUUAGCACAAAAGAGAGGCAAGGAAAUUGAAGAGUCUAAGAGACAAAUUAGCCUUAAUAUGUUGUCAGCAAGUGAAUGCGACUUUGACUCUAAUGAUCAAACUUCAGAUCAGUUAGCUCUUAACAAUGGUUCAUCUGGUCCAACUCCUCCAAAACAGUUACGUGAAUCGUCUGGAUCCUCACAUGAUAUGUGCUUGAUGAUAAUUCAGCCCUCAAUACUAACCCCUCUCAGAAAACAGGAGAUGGAAUCAACUGUGAGCAACCUCUCACCCAUACUGUCAGUUUUUAUCGCAAAACAAAACAUGAAAAUGAAAAGCAUGGGUCUUCACUCGUCAAGAAAGUAGUACAUCAGAGCAUCAGCUCAAUAAGUUGUCAAUCUUCCAAGAAGGAUGAGGAACUUGAGAGAGAAGCAGUAAGCAAAAAAAUCGCUGAACUCCAGCUGAAGAUCUCAGCCGAAACCACAGCCAUCGCUCAAGCCAUUCAGGCCUUAAAUUUGUGCUACUCAUUAGUCGAAUUUCAUGACUCUGCUGAGCAGAUGAGGCGGAACGACUUUUACUUCUUGCAAGUAAGCUACUUUUCAGAAACAACUCUUUUUAUUUCUAUACUCCUGCUCUAAGUUUUCAGCAAGGAA